GGGCGUGGAGUUGCGAAGGGGCCAUGGCAGAGGGCGUGGCGGAGCUGAAGGCGCUCACCUGGUGGGUCAGGAAACAGCAGGGCAGACCGUUGUCUCAGGUCAAGCCCCGCCUCCCGGCAGCAAACCUGCAUUCCACCGCAUUAUCCGCUCAAUUUCCGAGCCCAGAGGCUGUGAGGCCGUGGUAGGUCUAAACCACGACGUCUGUCUUCCUUUGUAUUGGACCCAACGUGAAACUGCUCCUCUGCAUGCCGUGGUUCUUCAUAUGCGAUUCAGGGUGGCCUUAAACUCACUAUGGAACGCUGGCCUGGACCUCACUGUGAUCCUCCUGCCUCAGCCUCCCGAGUGAAGGGAUUACAGGAUAAAAAGAUACGAAGAAGAAGCGGAAGAGGAGGAGGAGGAAGAAAAGAAGGAGAAGGAGGAGGAAGAGAAGAAAAAGAAUAGAAGGAAGAAGACUGCAACAAAAUUUCAAAGCACACUGAAGAAGAAGAAAACUACAGAAAAUUUCCAAACAUGUCAAUUGGGGGCAACAAUGGUACAUACAUUGUGCUCUGUAGGAUUGUUUUCUCUAAUUCUGCAAGAUACGUGAUUAGAAUUUUGAUAGAGAUUGCAUCAAAUUUGUGUAACAAUUUUGGGAGUAUGGCCAUUUUCACGAUGUUGGUUCUUCCUACCCAGGAAGAAGGAACCUCUUUUCAUUUUCUGGUAUCCUCUUCAAUCUCCUUUUACAGAGUGACCGGCGCAGCUCCAAUGAAACAGGAGACAGGAGACGCUUUUGUGGACAACAGUUAACUGCUAGUUUAUUUACGCGGGCUCUGGUUUAUAUAUUUGGCCGUGACCAAUCACAGGCUGCCACAAGGAAGCAGGGCGGGAAUGGGAUGCAGGCUCCGGCUACCAUGUCCAGCUGUGGCCAAUCAGGAGUUGCCACAGAGUACGGAGUGAGCACGAAGUGCGCAUGGGUUGGCUAAUUUAAAGAGGGACGCAGCGCAUUGCGGAAGCUGGCGUGGUCCUUAGUCCCGGGUGGGGUAUGGUAUGUUGAGCGCCUGCGCCCAACACAGAGUACUGUAGUUUUCAACUUAGAGGUCUUCUAUAUUUUUUGCUAAAUUGAUUCCUAGGUGUUUCAUUAUUGGGGGGAUGUUAUUUUAAAAGGUGUCACUUCCCUAAUUUCUUUCUCAGUGAGUUUGUUGUUUGUGUACAGGAAGGCUAUUGAUUUUUUUUUCUCCUCAUUGAGAGAUUCAAGGCUAUUGAUUUUUGAUGGUAUCCAGGGCCUUCACACUAAGCUAUAUCUCAGAUUUUUAAAAUAUUUUUUGUUUUGAGGCCGGGCCUUAUAAGUUGUUGGUGUCAGACUUGCAGUCCUCUAGAAUGCUGGGAUUCUAGGAAAUUACCUACUGAUAAAGCGAUUCACCAGUUGCUGCUUCUCUGAAAGGCUUUGCUCCAUCUUUAUUAUAAAAGCAAUUCAACGAGUAUUCAUUUGGCUCUGGCCCUGACCUUUAUUUUGUGUUCCCUGUCAGUUUAUAUUUUGAUCCCUAGUAUUGGAACUCAUCUCUGUAUUCAAGAUAAUUUUCCACCUAUUAAUGAUUUUAGAGGGAGGCAGCAUGUGCUUAUCAUUAUAAAGCUGAAGGCAACAUUCAUCUUUCCAGUGUCCCUUGCAGCUAUGGAUACGUGAUCUAGGCUUAGCUAAUCUUUUUUUCUCUUUGAGGUCUUACUAUGUAGUCCAGGCUGGUUUUGAACUUGCAGAAGUGCUCCUGCCUCGGCUUCCCAGUUGCUGAGACUUCAGGCAUGCACUACAUGCCUGGCUUGGCUUAACUAGUCUUUGGCACCCACCUGUGACUGAACCAGUUGCUGGUUUGCCCAAGAGGUAGAAAGUCCUCUUUGGUGUAGAGGGGUACUGUAGACGUGUUGCUAUUCAGGAUGUGGGGCAGUGGGUACAGUGGUGGUUGGGAAUCCUGUGGUCUGUUUCUCAAGCUCCAUUCCCUGAUGGUGAUAUCAUGGCACAAUCCCUGGCACCCAUGGUCUAACGGUUGUGAUGCUUUGUCUCCCUGAGCUGACUGUGGGGCUUGACUAAUAACUGGUCUUUCUUAUGCCUGCUAAGUUUCUGGGCCUAGUUCUUCAGAUAGUUUAGGGAUUAGGAAAGUUGUCAAGUAACUUUCUGUUUUAAAAUUUUACAUAGAGGCUUGGGUAUGGUAGGACGUACCUCUUAGCACAUGGGAGGCUGAAGCAGGAGGUGGGCUGUGAACUCAAGUCCAGCCUGGUCUACACAGUGAGAGCCUAUUAAAACUUUUUAAACCUUAAACAAAUUCACUCCAUGCGGUGUGUCCUUCUACAGCUUUGGACACUGUAUGAAGUAGUGCACUGGUUACUGCUGUCCUGACAGCUGCCCCCGGCUGCCCACCUCCCUCUACUCCUUCCCCAUGCUGAUUUCAAUCCCUGUGGUCCUCUUUUGCCCAGAAUCCUAGAAUAUUAACCAGUGACCUCUUAAUGCUGUUACAGGACAUUAUAAUAUUUACAAUAAAUAAGAAUAAAUUUAUUUUCUGUUUAAAAUAACACCUAGAACUCAUCACAGGCUCAGCAUUUGCACUGUUUUCUCCUCUCUGCCAUCUUCAUGAACCUGGGCUUCUUAGACGAGGCUUCCUGGACCACGCUAAUAUCAUAGUGCAGGAUCCUUGUUGUGUGAAUAAAGGUGCAGAGCCCUGAGGAUGGAUUAAGGAGCCCAGAGCUGCACUGGGAGCUGACGGAAGGGCCACAGUCGAGGCACACAUUUUCUGACCCCAGCCUGCAUGAUGGGGAUUUUGACAAGUGUGUCUCUCACACACACUUAGCUGAAUCUUUGUUUAAAUGACUUUGGUGACACUAGCCAGUGCUUUUUGUUUGACUGCAGUAGAUUAAGGCACCCGAGAAACAGGUCUUGGCAGAGCAGUGCUCUGCUGGGUGUAAAUUCUGCGUUCCCUUAUCCGUUCUUCUGCUGCUGGAUACACGGGCUGCUUUCAGGAUGCAUUUACUAU
Cavia porcellus (domestic guinea pig) is the source of this 2996-nucleotide long non-coding RNA. RefSeq lists it as uncharacterized. NCBI's taxonomy places the organism in Eukaryota, Metazoa, Chordata, Mammalia, Rodentia, Caviidae. The transcript has 3 exons. The record is from RefSeq and is a predicted model, not a curated record.